CAAGCCAGCCUUCCCAGCAGCCUUCAGUGCAGGCAGCCAUUCCCCAGACCCAGCUUAUGCUAGCUGGAGGACAGAUAACUGGGCUUACUUUGACGCCUGCCCAGCAACAGUUACUACUCCAGCAGGCACAGGCACAGGCACAGCUGCUGGCUGCUGCAGUGCAGCAGCACUCCGCCAGCCAGCAGCACAGUGCUGCUGGAGCCACCAUCUCCGCCUCUGCUGCCGCGCCCAUGACGCAGAUCCCCCUGUCUCAGCCCAUACAGAUCGCACAGGAUCUUCAACAACUGCAACAGCUUCAACAGCAGAAUCUCAACCUGCAACAGUUUGUGUUGGUGCAUCCAACCACCAAUUUGCAGCCAGCGCAGUUUAUCAUCUCACAGACGCCCCAGGGCCAGCAGGGUCUCCUGCAAGCGCAAAAUCUUCUAACGCAACUACCUCAGCAAAGCCAAGCCAACCUCCUACAGUCGCAGCCAAGCAUCACCCUCACCUCCCAGAUCUGGCCCAGUCCAGCCUGAGGUUUCUGGAGCUGGGGUAACUUAUCUGUAACCACCCCAUCUAAAGCCAGCAACCCCAACACGCACAAUAGCAGCAACCCCAAUUCAGACACUUCCACAGAGCCAGUCAACACCAAAGCGAAUUGAUACUCCCAGCUUGGAGGAGCCCAGUGACCUUGAGGAGCUUGAGCAGUUUGCCAAGACCUUCAAACAAAGACGAAUCAAACUUGGAUUCACUCAGGGUGAUGUUGGGCUCGCUAUGGGGAAACUAUAUGGAAAUGACUUCAGCCAAACUACCAUCUCUCGCUUUGAAGCCUUGAACCUCAGCUUUAAGAACAUGUGCAAGUUGAAGCCACUUUUAGAGAAGUGGCUAAAUGAUGCAGAGAACCUCUCAUCUGAUUCGUCCCUCUCCAGCCCAAGUGCCCUGAAUUCUCCAGGAAUUGAGGGCUUGAGCCGUAGGAGGAAGAAACGCACCAGCAUAGAGACCAACAUCCGUGUGGCCUUAGAGAAGAGUUUCUUGGAGGUCAGUGAGGAUUUUACUUUUCUGUACAUGGG
This 1049-nucleotide long non-coding RNA is filed under the name Pan troglodytes (chimpanzee). RNAcentral describes it as "long non-coding RNA NONPTRT000535". Lineage: Eukaryota; Metazoa; Chordata; Mammalia; Primates; Hominidae. The record is from RNAcentral.